CCAUGAGGUUCCACCUUCUUCCCCAGAAGUCCUGUAGCGAGGUCGAGAGGUAUGGCUCGUUGAACUGUGGCUCGAGCUCGACUCCGGCCAUGACUCGAACCAAGGUGGCCACCGUGACCAAAAUGGUCUCGAGUACAAGAUUGAAACAACAUAAUGGUGAACUUAAAGGUGGUGCAAAGGCAACCAGCUCAGGAAGGCCAUGGAUUUCUGCAUGCUUGAUUGAAGGUUUCAAGGACCAAAGAGAAGGUAAUUGAUUGAUUUAAACAUACCAAAGAAGACAAGCAAUAGCUUCUUUUUUCCAAUUCUGGGUCAUGAUAAUAGUUACACGAAACUCAAAUGUAGAUAGAUUUCAAGAAACAACAAGUCUAACACUUGUAUUGUGAAAUUAGAGGUGAAGAACCAGCCUUGAUUAAUAAGUUAAGACUGUGUUCUUAACAUUCAUGAAACAAAAUUCUGAUGAAAUUAGUAACUUGAUUUAUCAGUA
Humulus lupulus (European hop) is the source of this 484-nucleotide long non-coding RNA. RefSeq lists it as uncharacterized. NCBI's taxonomy places the organism in Eukaryota, Viridiplantae, Streptophyta, Magnoliopsida, Rosales, Cannabaceae. The transcript has 2 exons. The record is from RefSeq and is a predicted model, not a curated record.